RNAcentral lists this ribosomal RNA (498 nucleotides) under uncultured bacterium. RNAcentral's name for it is "partial 16S ribosomal RNA". It matches the Rfam family "Bacterial small subunit ribosomal RNA", at positions 29 to 507 of the family's 1533-position model. The record is from RNAcentral.
AGCGAACGCUGGCGGCGUGCCUAACACAUGCAAGUCGAACGUGAAAAGGGAAACCUGAGUAAAGUGGCGUACGGGUGAGUAACGCGUAGGUAAUCUACCCCAGAAUCUGGAAUAACCUGCCGAAAGGCGGGCUAAUACUGGAUAGAGCGAGGGAACUCGUAAGAGAGUUUUUCGGGAAAGGGAGCCCGCAAGGGCCUUCGUUCUGGGAUGAGCCUGCGUCUCAUUAGCUAGUUGGUAAGGUAACGGCUUACCAAGGCGAUGAUGAGUAGCUGGUCUGAGAGGAUGAUCAGCCACACUGGAACUGAAACACGGUCCAGACUCCUACGGGAGGCAGCAGUGGGGAAUCUUGCGCAAUGGACGAAAGUCUGACGCAGCCACGCCGCGUGAGUGAAGAAGGCCUUCGGGUUGUAAAGCUCUGUCGGAUGGGACGAACAUCUUCAUAGUGAAUAGCUAUGAGGACUGACGGUACCAUCAAAGGAAGCACCGGCUAACGCCGUG